Molecule: ribosomal RNA, 535 nt
Filed under: Colletotrichum sp. E8608d
Lineage: Eukaryota; Fungi; Ascomycota; Sordariomycetes; Glomerellales; Glomerellaceae
Also listed under: 1 other name
Description: eukaryotic LSU rRNA
Rfam family: 5.8S ribosomal RNA (bases 182-335)
Source: RNAcentral
GGAUCAUUACUGAGUUUACGCUCUACAACCCUUUGUGAACAUACCUAUAACUGUUGCUUCGGCGGGUAGGGUCUCCGUGACCCUCCCGGCCUCCCGCCCCCGGGCGGGUCGGCGCCCGCCGGAGGAUAACCAAACUCUGAUUUAACGACGUUUCUUCUGAGUGGUACAAGCAAAUAAUCAAAACUUUUAACAACGGAUCUCUUGGUUCUGGCAUCGAUGAAGAACGCAGCGAAAUGCGAUAAGUAAUGUGAAUUGCAGAAUUCAGUGAAUCAUCGAAUCUUUGAACGCACAUUGCGCCCGCCAGCAUUCUGGCGGGCAUGCCUGUUCGAGCGUCAUUUCAACCCUCAAGCUCUGCUUGGUGUUGGGGCCCUACAGCUGAUGUAGGCCCUCAAAGGUAGUGGCGGACCCUCCCGGAGCCUCCUUUGCGUAGUAACUUUACGUCUCGCACUGGGAUCCGGAGGGACUCUUGCCGUAAAACCCCCAAUUUUCCAAAGGUUGACCUCGGAUCAGGUAGGAAUACCCGCUGAACUUAAGC